AUUGAACGCUGGCGGCGUGCUUAACACAUGCAAGUCGAGCGGUAACGCGGGAGCAAUCCUGGCGACGAGCGGCGAACGGGUGAGUAAUGCUUCGGAAUCUGCCCUUUAGUGGGGAAUAACCAGCCGAAAGGUUGGCUAAUACCGCAUACGCCCUUCUUUUAAUUAAGAGGGGGAAAGCAGGGGAUCGUAAGACCUUGCGCUGUUGGAUGAGCCGAAGUCGGAUUAGCUAGUUGGUAGGGAACGGCCUACCAAGGCGACAAUCCGUAGCUGGUCUGAGAGGACGACCAGCCACACUGGGACUGGGACACGGCCCAGACUCCUACGGGAGGCAGCAGUGGGGAAUAUUGGACAAUGGGGAAACCCUGAUCCAGCGACGCCGCGUGUGUGAAGAAGGCCUGCGGGUUGUAAAGCACUUUUAGGNGGGAUGAAAAGCCUGAGGCUAAUACCCUCUGGUCUUGACCUAACCAAAGAAAAGCACCGGCUAACUCUGUGCCAGCCG
Molecule: ribosomal RNA, 499 nt
Filed under: uncultured bacterium
Lineage: Bacteria
Description: bacterial SSU rRNA
Rfam family: Bacterial small subunit ribosomal RNA
Source: RNAcentral